GACCCUAUAGCUCAGUUGGUAGAGCAUCCUGGAUAUUAUGGGAAGGUCCUAGGUUCAAAUCCUAUAGGGUGU
Molecule: transfer RNA, 72 nt
Filed under: Sphaerobolus stellatus SS14
Lineage: Eukaryota; Fungi; Basidiomycota; Agaricomycetes; Geastrales; Sphaerobolaceae
Rfam family: tRNA
About the family: Transfer RNA (tRNA) molecules are approximately 80 nucleotides in length. Their secondary structure includes four short double-helical elements and three loops (D, anti-codon, and T loops). Further hydrogen bonds mediate the characteristic L-shaped molecular structure. tRNAs have two regions of fundamental functional importance: the anti-codon, which is responsible for specific mRNA codon recognition, and the 3' end, to which the tRNAs corresponding amino acid is attached (by aminoacyl-tRNA synthetases). tRNAs cope with the degeneracy of the genetic code in two manners: having more than one tRNA (with a specific anti-codon) for a particular amino acid; and 'wobble' base-pairing, i.e. permitting non-standard base-pairing at the 3rd anti-codon position.
Source: Rfam by way of RNAcentral